CAAUUGAUAUUGCUGUUGUCAUCUGCCACAUAAAUCUCAUCAAAAUGCGGAUAUUGCACAAUCAACGCCACAACUAAUCAUAAUUAAGAAGAAGCAGGUAAUAAAUUUGAGCGAUCAUAAUAAUCAAGGAUGAAAACAUCUUUGAUCCUACCAUAGAAUUUAAAUAUAAAAACUUAACUGAAAAUAAUUAAUUAUCUGCACAAAUAAGACAUGAAAUUAAGAGAGUAAAAGGGCACAGAUUUGCCAUUACUAAGUCCUUUGAGGGAUUAUUUUGGUUCAGACUACAAACAAGGCAUAAAAUAAUUGUUGAUUUGUUGUUUGUUGUUUAAUAUGAUUUGAAAAACCAAGAAAACCAAUGUAACUGAAUACAUUAGUCACUUUGGCGAUCUUCGGUUCCACAUAUAAAUUUGGUUCACCUGGACAAUAGUAGAAAAUUGAUUAUUUCGGUUCAAUCCGAAAAUGAUCAACUAACCAGCCGAUUGCUCAACCCCAUAUCUUUUGACAUUUAUGAUACCCAAAUGUUAAUGCCCUGAAUGUGCUUUGCUAUAGAUUCUUAGAAACUUCUUCCAUGAUGCUACUCGCCCGACAUUACACCCAACAGACGAGUUGCUCGCCUACCUGGGCGACCCAUCCGAACAUGAGUCAAUUGCCGGGCGACCCACUUGGACAUAGAAAACCUUUCCCCUUGCCCUUACAUGAUUUCGGAUACUCACACGUCCAACAAGGACUCUACCAACAGAUAUCCCAGAUAUCCGGGGACCAAGUCCUAUCCUAACUCAAACUCCUAAUCCAAGUGGGAGUCCAACCGAUGCCUAUAUAUAUAUAUGGGACCAAUGACCUGAUGUUCUCGUUGUUGUUUUGCAAAUCCAUACCUGUGGAGAUUCCUCAGCUAGUAUCAUUCCAAUUCUUAAAAGUUCAUUUUAUACCUUCUCAAAAUUUUCAUAUUUUACAUUUGUGUCGUUUUUCCUAAACAAAUGAUGAUCCCAUCAAUAGAAACACUGGAUUAAAAAUUACUUUCCCCCAAAUAUCAUCUUGCAUUUUUUCACAAAAAAAGUAUUCCAAAAUUUUUGAGAUCUAAUCACUCAAUGAUGCCUUAAAAUAUAAAUCUAGUUAAGACUUGGGAUGCCUUUCCCUAGAAUGCAAAUGCCAUUAAACUCUAUCAAAUCCAUCCCUUCUUUCUAGAAUCAUCCUUAUUGUAAAGUUUCAUCAUUAAUGGCAAUACGAGGCUGGAAAAAAAAUUUUAUUGACCAUAUAAUUAUUACAUGCUGAAACAGUACCUAUUAAAUCAAUAAUCAUCAUCGAAUUUGUAGAAUCCAGAAAAAAGUUAUUAUCAUCAAUGCUUUUCUCUUUACUGAUAAAAGAAUUAGGACCAAGUGAGACUAAUAAAUCAAAGAAUCAAGCAGACCCAUGUUGCCAUUUGUCAUAUAUGCGCACUAGACAUAUAGGUAAAUUGAUACACCUCGAAUGUUUAUGUAAUGAACACAACUAUGCCCUGUAUUAGAGGUGGCCACAGUCCGGUUCGAAUCCGGAACCUUACCGGUCAAACCCAGAUUGAAACUGGUCAAAACCAAAACCAUCAUUAAAUCGAACCUAAACCGUCCCUCCACGGUUUCAUUCAAGUCCAAAAUAUUGUGAAACCGUUGAACUGUCGAUUCAAUUCGGUUUGAAACCGUCGGUUUAGAACCAAAUUGAACCGAUGGUUCAAUUAAAGCCUGCACGCUGCAGGCUGGACUUAGUGCCUAGCUAAGAGCUAGGCACCAGGCCCAGCCACCUAACUCCUGCAUGGUGCACCUAAUUGAAUAACCAUUCCAUUCCAGUGCUCAUUCACAAGUCAUUUCAAUAUUUUAAAAAAAAAUUAUUUAUUUAUAAAUUAUAAGUCUUUCAAACAGUUACCAUUAUUUUUUUCAUUUCAAACGUUAAAAAUUUUAACCGUUACAUUUUUUUAAUUUUAAUUAUAAAAUUACUCUUUGGCCCUCAAUAACAGUAAAAAAAACAGUUAAUUUUGAGAGAUAAUUUUGGAAUUAAAAAAUUUAUAAAAACUCUAUAAAUACCCUAACUCACCCUCCUUAAUUCAUUCACAUAACUCUUAAAUUCUCUCAAA
This 2101-nucleotide unclassified non-coding RNA is filed under the name Hevea brasiliensis (rubber tree). Lineage: Eukaryota; Viridiplantae; Streptophyta; Magnoliopsida; Malpighiales; Euphorbiaceae. The record is from RNAcentral.